This 140-nucleotide ribosomal RNA is filed under the name uncultured eukaryote. Its description in RNAcentral is "partial 18S ribosomal RNA". It matches the Rfam family "Eukaryotic small subunit ribosomal RNA", at positions 1299 to 1458 of the family's 1831-position model. The record is from RNAcentral.
UGGUGGAGUGAUUUGUCUGGUUAAUUCCGUUAACGAACGAGACCUUAGCCUGCUAAAUAGUUACGUGUAACUUCGGUUAUGCGGGCAACUUCUUAGAGGGACUUUGUGUGUCUAACCCAAGGAAGUUUGAGGCAAUAACA